Long non-coding RNA from Folsomia candida, 710 nucleotides. RefSeq lists it as uncharacterized. Lineage: Eukaryota; Metazoa; Arthropoda; Collembola; Entomobryomorpha; Isotomidae. The record is from RefSeq and is a predicted model, not a curated record. The transcript has 4 exons.
ACUUUACGUAACAUGACACUCGCAUUAUUACUCGCAUCAUCUGUUACUUUAUCAGACAAGAAAAAUCGUAUUUAUGUACAUAUUUAUUUAGAAAAAGAGUGUGAAGAAAACGGAUUUAAAAUAGGUUGCAAUAAAUCCAAGGAGGAAGAUCGUACAUGUUGUGGAGGUCAAGGUCAACAAACUCCCAACAGCAACAGGCGUCUUCCACCAAGGCAAAAUAGUAGCAUGAAGAAAAAGUUGAAGAUUCACGUAAUCUAUUGCGGUGGGUGAGGUUACAGUGCUCGUUUCAAGAAUCUAAGGAAGAAACUUGAGCGAGUGUUUCCUGACCAGUUACAAAUUACCGGUGAAUCAACCCCUUACAUAUCAGGAAAAUUUGAAGUUCGAAUUGUAAAUGGACAGUUUCUUCAUUCCAAAAAGAACGGGAUGGGUUUUGUAGACACAGAAUCAAAGUUUGCUAAUUUAGAGGCCGGAAUUCGUCACGAGCUUGAGGGCAUGGAUCAAGAGAAAGUACAACAGUCUUCUCCAGCAACAGAGGAGAGAAAGUCAACAACGAGCGGAUUGUCCAAAUAAUUUUAGCCAAAUAAAUCCAACCGACAUAACAUUGUUUCGUCAUUAAUGAUGCAAAAUACUGAAACCAUUUUGUUGGAGGUUUUUGCGGAUUAAUUUAUGAUGAAAAUGGGUGAAAGUGCAAAUAAAUAAGUAAAUGCAUA